UACAGAGACUGCAAGCGUUAUUCGGAUUCACUGGGCGUAAAGGGUGCGUAGGUGGUGAGGUAAGUCGGAUGUGAAAUCUCCGAGCUCAACUCGGAAAUGGCAUUGGAAACUACCUUGCUCGAGGGUUGGAGGGGGGACUGGAAUGCUUGGUGUAGCAGUGAAAUGCGUAGAUAUCAAGCGGAACACCAGUGGCGAAGGCGAGUCCCUGGACAACUCCUGACACUGAGGCACGAAAGCUAGGGGAGCAAACAGG
RNAcentral lists this ribosomal RNA (253 nucleotides) under uncultured bacterium. Its description in RNAcentral is "partial 16S ribosomal RNA". It matches the Rfam family "Bacterial small subunit ribosomal RNA", at positions 524 to 776 of the family's 1533-position model. The record is from RNAcentral.